UGAAGGAACAUCAUUUACACUUUCUGAAUAUCAAUGAGGGGGAAAAAAAACUUUGAUUCUGUAGUAGAAAAAAACUAUUUCUGCAGCAUUUAAUAUGCAAUACAAACAGUAUUUACAUAUAGACAUAAACAACAUUGAUACAUAGCCUGCAUAGGGGAACAAUAUUUACAUAUCCUGUGUUACUGAUAAUGAAAGAAAUUGUGUUACUGAUAACUGCGAUACUAAUAACUUCUAAUAACUUUAAAACUGCGAUACUAAUAUCUGUAUUCACAUAGUGAUAAAUCUAUAAUUGUCAUAAAUAUUUAACUAAAUGUACAGAUAUUUGAUAAAGCAUCAUAUAAUUUGCAAAAUGUAAUGUUAGGACUUAAAGCAUAACCAUAUUAUUGCAGUUAUAAACAAAUGUUAUGCGCUAUGAUCACGCUAAGUGUUUGACACUGAUUUAAAAUCAAAAAUUAAAAGGAAUAUAAUAAAACGUAUUUCUUACUUUGAAAAAUAAUCCUUACAUAAUAUUUACAUGGAAUAUACAAAUUCAGCCAUUGGACGGCAUAUACCAAUAUUACGAAAUUAAUAUCAAUAUUUAAUAUUAAUCUAAGCAUUAAAAUUACUAAUUUCUUAGUCAAAUCAUUUUCAUCAAUUAGAUUAUACAAAAAGAAACAGAACUAACUAGAAUUUUUACGGUUUAUGUGCAAUAAACUACCCGCUACACACGUACAUGCAAACUACCUGGCAAUCUGCUAGACAACAGUUCAGCAUUAAGAUAGUGGUGUACAAACAUGGGAUAACAAUCUGAUUGAGUUACUGGAAGAAAAGAAUUAAAGAUCAUGGGUGUUUCAAGUGGUUCAACUGAAAGCACCUGUGAAAAGCGCCAUUUAGAAGGAGAUGCCUCAGACGUAGACAAUUUCACAUCUGAUGAAGAGACAAAGCUGCUGAAAGACAGAAAAAAGUCAUAUUUAG
Molecule: long non-coding RNA, 954 nt
Organism: Stegodyphus dumicola
Lineage: Eukaryota; Metazoa; Arthropoda; Arachnida; Araneae; Eresidae
Source: RefSeq, a predicted model, not a curated record